CGUGACUGCUACCGAGGUGCAUCAUGGGGAAUUGGCGGUUAACGACAUGCUCACUUUACUUGGACGUUUUCUAAUCGUCUUCUUUGGAAUAUGCUUUCAAGGUCUGUGAAGCCAAACUUGAUGCUGGGGAUUUAUUUUUGUCAGUGGAGUCAAAUGGUUGAAGCAGAAUUUGCCCGUCUUACAUCUGUUGACCUGAAAGGGUUCCUUUUUGCUGUGCUUGACCAUUAUGGAGAGGUUCGUGGAG
This is a long non-coding RNA of Pelmatolapia mariae (spotted tilapia), 244 nucleotides long. RefSeq lists it as uncharacterized. NCBI's taxonomy places the organism in Eukaryota, Metazoa, Chordata, Actinopteri, Cichliformes, Cichlidae. The transcript has 3 exons. The record is from RefSeq and is a predicted model, not a curated record.